GUCGAGUGGCUUAGUGGCUAGAAUUCACUUUUUUCAAGGUGAUUAAGUGGGGUGUCCAGGGUUCGAACCCCAGCCCCUACAUAUAACAAUGCAUAUCCCUCCCAACUGAGCUAUGCUCAUUUCGACAAAAAAAGUGACUAAAGCAUUUUCUAUACAUAUUGUUGCGCACCAAAUCCUUGCCGCUCACCGUUCAUGUAACACCCCGUUUUCCCAACUUGAAAUUUUUUACAUAAUCAUCAGAGUAAUCAACUUAAAUAGGAUGUCACACUACUUUAAAAGAUAAAUAGAAUAGAAUUACUAUUUAUUUAAACAUCUUUCAUCAAUAAUUCAAAUUACAUCGCAGCGGAAAAACAUUUCAUUAUUCAUCAAAAUGGCACUACG
Molecule: long non-coding RNA, 381 nt
Filed under: Medicago truncatula (barrel medic)
Lineage: Eukaryota; Viridiplantae; Streptophyta; Magnoliopsida; Fabales; Fabaceae
Description: lncRNA gene36807
Source: RNAcentral